Molecule: non-coding RNA, 120 nt
Organism: Gossypium raimondii (Peruvian cotton)
Lineage: Eukaryota; Viridiplantae; Streptophyta; Magnoliopsida; Malvales; Malvaceae
Source: Rfam
UGUUAAUAAUUUCAUCCCUUUCUAUUGUUAAAAACUGGCAUGACUGACUGAAUAAUCAGAUAUUGAUGCUAAUGUAUAGAGAUCAAUUUUUAACGGUAGAAAUAUAUGAAAAUUUUAACA